CCCAGUGUCUCAGUGUUCCCAUUUCUCCCAGGGUCCCCAUGUCACUAAGAGACCCAGGGACACUGAGACACUUGGGGACCCUGGGAGACAUGGGGCACUGAGACACUUG
This is a non-coding RNA of Pelobates cultripes (western spadefoot toad), 109 nucleotides long. The record is from the annotation of a GenBank genome assembly. Lineage: Eukaryota; Metazoa; Chordata; Amphibia; Anura; Pelobatidae.